AGAGUUUGAUCAUGGCUCAGAUUGAACGCUGGCGGCAGGCCUAACACAUGCAAGUCGAACGGUAACAGGAAACAGCUUGCUGUUUCGCUGACGAGUGGCGGACGGGUGAGUAAUGUCUGGGAAACUGCCUGAUGGAGGGGGAUAACUACUGGAAACGGUAGCUAAUACCGCAUAACGUCGCAAGACCAAAGAGGGGGACCUUCGGGCCUCUUGCCAUCGGAUGUGCCCAGAUGGGAUUAGCUAGUAGGUGGGGUAACGGCUCACCUAGGCGACGAUCCCUAGCUGGUCUGAGAGGAUGACCAGCCACACUGGAACUGAGACACGGUCCAGACUCCUACGGGAGGCAGCAGUGGGGAAUAUUGCACAAUGGGCGCAAGCCUGAUGCAGCCAUGCCGCGUGUAUGAAGAAGGCCUUCGGGUUGUAAAGUACUUUCAGCGGGGAGGAAGGGAGUAAAGUUAAUACCUUUGCUCAUUGACGUUACCCGCAGAAGAAGCACCGGCUAACUCCGUGCCAGCAGCCGCGGUAAUACGGAGGGUGCAAGCGUUAAUCGGAAUUACUGGGCGUAAAGCGCACGCAGGCGGUUUGUUAAGUCAGAUGUGAAAUCCCCGGGCUCAACCUGGGAACUGCAUCUGAUACUGGCAAGCUUGAGUCUCGUAGAGGGGGGUAGAAUUCCAGGUGUAGCGGUGAAAUGCGUAGAGAUCUGGAGGAAUACCGGUGGCGAAGGCGGCCCCCUGGACGAAGACUGACGCUCAGGUGCGAAAGCGUGGGGGAGCAAACAGGAUUAGAUACCCUGGUAGUCCACGCCGUAAACGAUGUCGACUUGGAGGUUGUGCCCUUGAGGCGUGGCUUCCGGAGCUAACGCGUUAAGUCGACCGCCUGGGGAGUACGGCCGCAAGGUUAAAACUCAAAUGAAUUGACGGGGGCCCGCACAAGCGGUGGAGCAUGUGGUUUAAUUCGAUGCAACGCGAAGAACCUUACCUGGUCUUGACAUCCACAGAACUUUCCAGAGAUGGAUUGGUGCCUUCGGGAACUGUGAGACAGGUGCUGCAUGGCUGUCGUCAGCUCGUGUUGUGAAAUGUUGGGUUAAGUCCCGCAACGAGCGCAACCCUUAUCCUUUGUUGCCAGCGGUCCGGCCGGGAACUCAAAGGAGACUGCCAGUGAUAAACUGGAGGAAGGUGGGGAUGACGUCAAGUCAUCAUGGCCCUUACGACCAGGGCUACACACGUGCUACAAUGGCGCAUACAAAGAGAAGCGACCUCGCGAGAGCAAGCGGACCUCAUAAAGUGCGUCGUAGUCCGGAUUGGAGUCUGCAACUCGACUCCAUGAAGUCGGAAUCGCUAGUAAUCGUGGAUCAGAAUGCCACGGUGAAUACGUUCCCGGGCCUUGUACACACCGCCCGUCACACCAUGGGAGUGGGUUGCAAAAGAAGUAGGUAGCUUAACCUUCGGGAGGGCGCUUACCACUUUGUGAUUCAUGACUGGGGUGAAGUCGUAACAAGGUAACCGUAGGGGAACCUGCGGUUGGAUCACCU
This 1531-nucleotide ribosomal RNA is filed under the name Escherichia coli. Its description in RNAcentral is "bacterial SSU rRNA". It matches the Rfam family "Bacterial small subunit ribosomal RNA". The record is from RNAcentral. Lineage: Bacteria; Pseudomonadati; Pseudomonadota; Gammaproteobacteria; Enterobacterales; Enterobacteriaceae.